UAGUUACUCCCUCCGUCCCAAAAAAGAUGUCUCAGAUUUGUCAAAAUUUGGAUGUAUCUAUACACUAAAUUGUGUCAUCCAAAUUUAGACAACUUUGCGACAUCUUUUUUGGGACAGAGGGAGUAUAAA
Non-coding RNA from Triticum aestivum (bread wheat), 129 nucleotides. Lineage: Eukaryota; Viridiplantae; Streptophyta; Magnoliopsida; Poales; Poaceae. The record is from Rfam.